GGAUGUGAGAGUGAGCUGGAUGUGACAUCUGUCACUCUAUCGAUCACCAGGGUUGAUUUGACUGACUGGCUAGGCGGGUGUCCCCUUCUUCCCUUACCACUCCAUGUGCAUCCCUCCAGAAGCUGCGUGCUAGGACCAUCUAGAAUGGAGGACUGUUUUUCCAUCAUGGGUAUAUGAGUAGCUGUGUUCCCCUUCUAGAAUCUUAAACAAGCUCUCAAGCAUGUGUUUAAUGAUGGGUGACAGUCUACCCCAGGUACAGCAUUUUCAUACCUUUUGCAGAGAACUGAUCCACUAU
This 295-nucleotide small nuclear RNA is filed under the name Castor canadensis (American beaver). RNAcentral's name for it is "7SK RNA (ENSCCNG00000003952.1)". It matches the Rfam family "7SK RNA". From Rfam's summary of the family: 7SK was discovered as an abundant small nuclear RNA in the mid-70s but a possible function has only recently been suggested. Two independent studies have found that 7SK RNA binds the CDK9/cyclin T complex (known as elongation factor P-TEFb). Lineage: Eukaryota; Metazoa; Chordata; Mammalia; Rodentia; Castoridae. The record is from Rfam by way of RNAcentral.